This 284-nucleotide long non-coding RNA is filed under the name Sparus aurata (gilthead seabream). RNAcentral describes it as "lncRNA (ENSSAUG00010027337.1)". The record is from RNAcentral. Lineage: Eukaryota; Metazoa; Chordata; Actinopteri; Spariformes; Sparidae.
UUUGUUUUAAAACUAUUGGGAUAAUUGGGCCCGGUGUUCGGCAUCACGUUGAUUGAUUUAUGUGCACUUGUAACUAAAUGUUUCCUGUCUGUCAGGGGGACGUUGGUCCAGUCGGCCCUACAGGGCCCCAGGGAAUAAAGGGGGAACAAGGAGACAAAGGAGAUAAGGGCAGUCCCGGUUUUGGGAUACCAGGACAGCGGGGACCAAAGGGUGAAAAUGGCGAGCGGGUGAGGCACCAUUUAACACUGAAAAUGUGUUGUCUGAUAUCACAUUUGAUUUAUUGA